GAUGAACGCUGGCGGCGUGCCUAAUACAUGCAAGUCGAGCGAACAGAUGAGGAGCUUGCUCCUCUGACGUUAGCGGCGGACGGGUGAGUAACACGUGGAUAACCUACCUAUAAGACUGGGAUAACUUCGGGAAACCGGAGCUAAUACCGGAUAAUAUAUUGAACCGCAUGGUUCAAUAGUGAAAGACGGUUUUGCUGUCACUUAUCGAUGGAUCCGCGCCGCAUUAGCUAGUUGGUAAGGUACCGGCUUAUCAAGGCAACGAUGCGUAGCCGAACUGAGAGGGGGGUCGGCCACACUGGAACUGAGACACGGUCCAGACUCCUACGGGAGGCAGCAGUAGGGAAUCUUCCGCAAUGGGCGAAAGCCUGACGGAGCAACGCCGCGUGAGUGAUGAAGGUCUUCGGAUCGUAAAACUCGGUUAUUAGGGAAGAACAAAUGUGUAAGUAACUAUGCACGUCUUGACGGUACCUAAUCAGAAAGCCACGGCUAACUACGUG
This 497-nucleotide ribosomal RNA is filed under the name uncultured bacterium. RNAcentral's name for it is "partial 16S ribosomal RNA". It matches the Rfam family "Bacterial small subunit ribosomal RNA", at positions 28 to 507 of the family's 1533-position model. The record is from RNAcentral.